This 77-nucleotide transfer RNA is filed under the name Nesiotobacter zosterae. RNAcentral's name for it is "tRNA-Arg". It matches the Rfam family "tRNA". Rfam says of the family: Transfer RNA (tRNA) molecules are approximately 80 nucleotides in length. Their secondary structure includes four short double-helical elements and three loops (D, anti-codon, and T loops). Lineage: Bacteria; Pseudomonadati; Pseudomonadota; Alphaproteobacteria; Hyphomicrobiales; Stappiaceae. RNAcentral also lists the same sequence under 18 other names. The record is from RNAcentral.
GCACCCGUAGCUCAGUUGGAUAGAGCGCUGCCCUCCGAAGGCAGAGGUCACAGGUUCGAAUCCUGUCGGGUGCGCCA